This 550-nucleotide ribosomal RNA is filed under the name uncultured fungus. RNAcentral's name for it is "eukaryotic LSU rRNA". The stretch from base 185 to 338 matches the Rfam family "5.8S ribosomal RNA". Lineage: Eukaryota; Fungi. The record is from RNAcentral.
AAGUCGUAACAAGGUCUCCGUUGGUGAACCAGCGGAGGGAUCAUUACUGAGUACUACACUCUCUACCCUUUGUGAACUAUUAUACCUGUUGCUUCGGCGGCGCCCGCAAGGGUGCCCGCCGGUCUCAUCAGAAUCUCUGUUUUCGAACCCGACGAUACUUCUGAGUGUUCUUAGCGAACUGUCAAAACUUUAACAACGGAUCUCUUGGCUCCAGCAUCGAUGAAGAACGCAGCGAAACGCGAUAUGUAAUGUGAAUUGCAGAAUUCAGUGAAUCAUCGAAUCUUUGAACGCACAUGGCGCCUUCCAGUAUCCUGGGAGGCAUGCCUGUCCGAGCGUCGUUUCAACCCUCGAGCCCCUGUGGCCCGGCGUUGGGGAUCUGCCACGGCAGGCCCCUAAAACCAGUGGCGGACCCGAAGGGCCCUCUCCUUUGCGCAGUAGCAUUCGCCUCGCAUCGGGAGUCCUCGGCGUCCUGCCUCUAAACCCCCCACAAGCCCGCUUCGGCGGCACCAAGGUUGACCUCGGAUCAGGUAGGAAUACCCGCUGAACUUAA